Molecule: ribosomal RNA, 254 nt
Filed under: uncultured bacterium
Lineage: Bacteria
Description: partial 16S ribosomal RNA
Rfam family: Bacterial small subunit ribosomal RNA
Source: RNAcentral
UACGGGGGGAGCAAGCGUUGUUCGGAUUUACUGGGCGUAAAGGGCGCGUAGGCGGUCGUGACAAGUCACUUGUGAAAUCUCCGGGCUUAACUCGGAACGGUCAAGUGAUACUGUCGGACUAGAGUACAGAAGGGGCAACUGGAAUUCUCGGUGUAGCGGUGAAAUGCGUAGAUAUCAGGAGGAACACCGGUGGCGAAGGCGGGUCUCUGGGCCGAUAUUGACGCUGAGGAGCGAAAGCGUGGGGAGCGAACAGG